Molecule: long non-coding RNA, 4271 nt
Filed under: Citrus sinensis (sweet orange)
Lineage: Eukaryota; Viridiplantae; Streptophyta; Magnoliopsida; Sapindales; Rutaceae
Description: long non-coding RNA (CSIN_LNC000874)
Source: RNAcentral
UUGUAUUUUCUCUCUCGCUUUAAUUUGUUUUAUUUACGCAUGUAUGACUUUUUUUUCUCUUUCAAUUUAUACAACUGGUUUACAAACUUAAAACAUUAAUCUUUCUUUCUUUUCAUAAUUAUUAUUUUUAAUUUCGGAGAGCUAGCGUUUUAAUUUUAUAGAAAGACAAAGUUUGAAAAGAAGAAGAAAGGUACCAGUUUUACAAGUAAAUUUUAAUUUUUAAGACAGAAAAUAUCUGAAAAUUGAAAAUUUUACAAAUGAAAAAAGUGUUUAUUUAAAAAAAAAAUAUGGACAAAAUGGUAAUGAUGAUGAGGAGAAAGUUAAGGCUGAUGCACGUGUGGUGUUCAUUGUAAGCCUAAUAAUGAAUCAAUAAUGGCAAAUAUUGUGAUUGGAAAACAAACGACUAUAUAAAAAAUAUAAGAAAAAAUAUAUUUUUUAAUAUAUGUAGAUGUUCUUAUAACAUAAUAAUGAGAUGUUCUCAUAACAUAAUAAUAAUUAUUUUAUAUGUGUGUGUGCGCGAGUGGAAGAGAACAAAAAAGGGAUAUUUUUAGUAUUAAGUAGGGUAAAAUUGAAAAAAAAAAUUAGGGGCUUUAAUAGAAGUUUGCAGGGCUGCCAAUAGUCAAACUCCUCAAUAUUUAGAAAACAUCGGGAUUAUGGGUCCAAGCCCAAUCUUUAGAAGACCCAAUAACUUCUCUAAUUCGCUAGAUGAAACGACGUAGCAAUUUCCUCCACUUACUUUACGUAUCACCGGCUUAGGCUUCCCUUCGCUGCUCGCAUCAAUUGAAUGGCUGUGUGGAGACCGGAGAAUAGAUUAGAACUGCAAAAAGCAACUUCACAAAUUCACUCUAGUAUCUCAGUCUUCAAGGUAUGAGUUUCAUUUAUCUUGAAUUAAUGAAAAUUCAAUGAACUUAAUUCAUAUAUAAAUGGCUACUCUUAACUAUUUCACUUGUAUGUAACAUCAGAACUACCGUUCGUACUUGCUCUUCAGUAAUGUUUCCCUAUCUGGGUCUAUCUCUUUAUUAGUAAAUUUGAUAGAAAAAUGCAACCUUUAAGUGUGUGGCCAUUAAAAGGUGGCUUUGCUGCAGUGCCUCAGUUGCAUUUUGAUGUUGUUUCUUCUAGUUUUUUAAGCACAAGAAAUAGGAGGAGAAAAAAAUGGAGUCUCGUUGAAUCUGUUUGUCACAGUAGAAACACUGGCUUCUUGUUAGUUUCGAGCAAUUCAACGUUUAGUUGUUGUGGGGUGUGUUGUAGGAGCAUUAAACUUGAUUCAAAAUGUGAGUUUCUAUCUGGGUUCUCUAGUCACAAAUUGGUUCUCUUUUGUGAGCCAAAGAAAAGUUAUUUCGGUGCGUCUGUGAUGUUUGCUUGGUCAAUGGAGCAACAAGAAAUUGGAAAUGGCCUCCUUGUAGAAGAACCAAACUCUGCAGAUGGAUUGUUGGUGGAAACCGAGAGUGAUAUUGUUGAUUAUCGUAGUGUUCAUAGAGUAGAAGAUACUGGUGAUAAUGGUAAUCAGGUAGAAAGCGAAGAAGUAGAAAUUAUUGGUGAGAGAGGAGUUGGGAAGCAGAAGAGUGGUAGAGUUGAUGUUAAGGCACUGGCACAGAGUUUAUGGCACACGAAAACGGCUGAUGAUGUGGAAGAAGUUCUUAAGGACAUGGGUGAAUUGCCACCUCAAGUACACUCAAGUAUGAUUAGAGGUUUUGGUAAAGAAAAGAGAACGGACUGUGCGAUGGCUCUUGUUGAGUGGCUAAAGAGAAAGAAGAGAGAAACUGGUGGUUUCAUUGGUCCUAACCUUUUUGUAUAUAAUAGCUUGUUGGGUGCAGUGAAACAGUCUCAAAAAUUUGAGGAAAUGGAUAGAAUUAUGAAUGAUAUGGCUGAGGAGGGGGUUAAUCCUAAUGUUGUAACCUAUAACACUUUGAUGGCUAUUUAUAUAGAGCAAGGAGAAGGUACCAAGGCCCUCAACGUCCUUGAGGAGAUAAAGAAGAAGGGCCUUACACCGUCCGCUGUAUCCUAUUCUCAGGCCUUGUUGGCUUAUCGAAGAAUGGAAGAUGGAAAUGGAGCUUUGAAGUUCUUCGUUGAAUUAAGAGAGAAGUAUCUGAAAGGUGAAAUUGGAAAAGGUGAUGAUGAAAAUUGGGAGAACGAGUUCGUUAAGCUUAAGGACUUCAUAAUUCGUAUUUGCUACCAAGUGAUGCGCCGUUGGCUUGUGAAGGAUGAAAACCUAAGCACUAAUGUGUUAAAACUUCUAAUAGAAAUGGAUAAGGCGGGGCUUCGGCCUGUUAAGGCAGAAUAUGAGCGCCUUGUAUGGGCUUGUACCCGUGAAGAACAUUAUGUUGUUGCCAAAGAAUUCUAUGCUAGGAUUAGAGAAAGGCAUGAUGAGAUAAGUUUAUCUGUGUGCAACCAUUUGAUUUGGUUGAUGGGGAAGGCUAAGAAGUGGUGGGCGGCUUUGGAGGUCUAUGAGGAUUUGUUGGACAAGGGACCAAAGCCUAAUAACAUGUCAUAUGAAUUGAUUGUUUCUCACUUUAAUAUACUACUUAGUGCGGCUAGGAAAAGAGGUAUCUGGAGAUGGGGUGUUAGAUUGCUCAACAAGAUGGAAGAAAAAGGCCUUAAACCUGGAAGUAGGGAAUGGAAUGCAGUUCUUGUUGCCUGCUCCAAGGCUUCAGAGUACAAUGCUGCUGUCCAGAUAUUUAAGCGAAUGGUUGAAAAAGGUGAAAAACCCACAAUUAUCUCCUAUGGAGCGUUACUCAGUGCCCUUGAAAAGGGUAAGCUCUAUGAUGAAGCCUCUCGUGUGUGGCAACAUAUGCUGAAUGUCGGCGCGGAGCCAAACCUGUAUGCCUACACAAUUAUGGCUUCAAUUUUCACCGCACAAGGAAAGUUUAACUUGGUUGAGCUGAUCUUUCGGGAGAUGGCUUCAUCUCGUAUUGAGCCAACAGUUGUCACAUACAAUGCAAUCAUCAGUGCAUGUGGGCAGAAUGGAAUGAGCAGUGCAGCAUAUGAAUGGUUUCACCGAAUGAAAGUUCAAAACAUCUCUCCUAACGAGAUCACUUAUGAAAUGCUGAUUGAGGCUCUUGCAAAAGACGGUAAACCAAGACUUGCAUACGACUUGUAUUUGAGGGCUCGGAAUGAGGAACUUAACCUCUCUUCGAAGGCUUAUGAUGCGAUACUCGAAUUCUCCCAAGUCUAUGGAGCAACUAUUGAUUUAACUGUUUUAGGACCUCGGCCACCAGACAAAAAGAAGAAAGUUGUAAUUAGGAAGAAUUUGUCUAAUUUCUGUCACUUUGCUGACGUUCCAAGGAGAAGUAAACCCUUUGAUAAAAAGGAAAUUUACACCCCACAAACAGAAAGAAACCAAUUGUGAGAACUUUAAUCUUUACAUGUCCUUGUUUUAGCUUGUAAUGACAGGAAGUUGAAUUUCUGUCCUCAUUAUCCAAGCCUGUUUGUUUAUAUAUACAAAAUGAUUGUGGAUGUUGACUCAGAUACAUACCAAAUACUAUCAUUUUGAUGACUCUCUUAAGUUUUUGCUUGUGGAAGCUGAUAAAAUUCAACUCAGUUUGUUGGUGAUUUUAGAGUCGAAUUUCAACGUUGUGAUGAGCGUGAACCCAAGCAAAAGGUGACUGACAUUUAGAUAAUAGGUUCCAGUAAUACUGCUUGCCAUUGAAUCUCCUUUUUUAGUGAAAUCCAUUGUCGCCAAGACUGGCCCUAUUUUGUCAUUUAUGGCAAAAUGACAAAAUCUGGAAGGCUGAGGCUCCAUGCUAGGACUAUUGAAUGGUUAAAUGGCAACCCAUUUGUUAUUAUUGCAUGAUAUCAUCACAAAGCGCCACAUUGAGGAUCAAAUCCAGAUUUUUUUUCUUAUUUUUUUGUAGAACUUUUAACACGUUCGAUUCUCUCAUAGUGGAACUGUCAUGUGCUGGUUGGUGGGAAUUUGUCCGAUAAAAAAUUCAUCCUUUUUGCUGACUUUUUUUUUUUUAAGUCUGUUAUACACAGAUAUUACUGACAUUACAUCAGACAUUACAAUUAAUAUUUACAAUCAUACUAUAUAACUGGGACCACCAUCAUAUAUUGACACACUGAAGUAUAUGCCCAGAUAUUUUAAACCCUCUCUAAUAUUCGAGGGGUGACUGCUCCACUCACAUUUCGUAAGGGAGAGACUGUCUCCAGUCAAUUAAUUGAUAAUUGAAGAAGAACUGAAACUAACCUCCAUAAUGCUCUUAUGGAGGUUCGAACCCUUGCACUCAACAUUACAAGUGCAAGGCUUCUCCCAUUGGACCAAAGGCCCAUUGGUA